Molecule: unclassified non-coding RNA, 455 nt
Filed under: Hevea brasiliensis (rubber tree)
Lineage: Eukaryota; Viridiplantae; Streptophyta; Magnoliopsida; Malpighiales; Euphorbiaceae
Source: RNAcentral
UUUUUUCUUUUUUUUUUUUCUCUUCUUUUCUCCUCUUUAAUUUCUCCUCGAUUCCCUAACUCAAUUAAGGAUCCAAACAAAUGGUUAAUGAAGAUAAGGGGAUAUGGAAAUUUUUUGAAAAUAAAAAAAUAAAAUGUAAUUAAAAUUUUAUAAAUUGUGAAAAAAAUAAAGAUAAAAUGAGAAUGAAAAUUCUUCAAACCAUCCUGAAUCAUCAAAUUGGUCAUUUGAAAAGUUGUGUCAAAAAAAUUAUCCUUUUACAAUCCAAAACCACCUUUUCCAAGAACCAUGAUCUAAAUAGGGUUAAUUGGCAACACAGCUAACAUCUAUUUCACUACAAUUGCACAGAAUAUGAAAAUUCAACUUUUCAUUUUAUUCAUUCCCGUUCUACCAAGAAAAUAUAGAAAAUCCCAGAGAUGAAAAAACGAUCUUACCUCCUCUGUUCUAAUCCCUGUAGG